CAUCGUGAAGUGGAAUCUGAAAGAAGCCGGAGGCAACCCCUCGGUUCAACGAACAGGAAUCGCAUAUAAGGCAUUUGCGGGACGGACGAGUUUGCGGUACAAGACGAAAUUCAACACUGCACGAAUCCCGUGGUGUAAAUGCGGCGAAUAUAUGAGGAGAA
RNAcentral lists this non-coding RNA (161 nucleotides) under Cloacibacillus evryensis. Lineage: Bacteria; Thermotogati; Synergistota; Synergistia; Synergistales; Synergistaceae. The record is from RNAcentral.